ACGCUCGACACCUACGGGAGACAGCAGUGGGGAAUAUUGCACAAUGGGGGAAACCCUGAUGCAGCGACGCCGCGUGGAGGAAGAAGGUCUUCGGAUUGUAAACUCCUGUUGUUGGGAAAAGAGGAUGGUACCCAACAAGGAAGUGACGGCUAACUACGUACCAGCAGCCGCGGUAAUCUGAGCGGGCUGGCAAGGC
RNAcentral lists this ribosomal RNA (196 nucleotides) under uncultured bacterium. RNAcentral describes it as "partial 16S ribosomal RNA". It matches the Rfam family "Bacterial small subunit ribosomal RNA", at positions 328 to 539 of the family's 1533-position model. The record is from RNAcentral.